AUUGAACGCUGCGGCAGGCUUAACACAUGCAAGUCGAGCGAGCGGCGGACGGGUGAGUAAUGCUUAGGAAUCUGCCCAUUAGUGGGGGACCACAUCUCGAAAGGGAUGCUAAUACCGCAUACUUAUAGAUGAGUCUAAGUCGGAUUAGCUAGUUGGUGGGGUAAAGGCCUACAAAGGCGACGAUCUGUAGCGGGGCUGAGAGGAGGGUCCGCCAAACUGGUAAUUGGAAAACGGCCAAGCUCCUAAGGGGGGGAGGAAGGGGGGAUAUUUGACAAAGGGGGGAAACCUGAUCCGGCCAAUCCGGGGGUGGUAAGAAGGCCUUAUGGUUGUAAAGCACUUUAAGCGAGGAGACGGUACUCGCAGAAAAAGCAACGGCUAACUCUGUGCCAGCAGCCGCGGUAAUUC
This 405-nucleotide ribosomal RNA is filed under the name uncultured bacterium. RNAcentral's name for it is "partial 16S ribosomal RNA". It matches the Rfam family "Bacterial small subunit ribosomal RNA", at positions 30 to 526 of the family's 1533-position model. The record is from RNAcentral.